Molecule: transfer RNA, 67 nt
Filed under: Trichonephila inaurata madagascariensis
Lineage: Eukaryota; Metazoa; Arthropoda; Arachnida; Araneae; Nephilidae
Description: tRNA-Thr
Source: RNAcentral
GCCCAGCUAGUAUGGUGGAUAUGACCCUCGGCUUGUAACCGAGUGGGUUCGAAUCCCGAGUAAGGCA